RNAcentral lists this long non-coding RNA (1221 nucleotides) under Fukomys damarensis (Damara mole-rat). Its description in RNAcentral is "lncRNA (ENSFDAG00000030987.1)". Lineage: Eukaryota; Metazoa; Chordata; Mammalia; Rodentia; Bathyergidae. The record is from RNAcentral.
AUUUAGAGGUCUUUUGAAGAGCUAACACUCAAGAGACUAGUAGAGGACGGGGUGUAAGUGUAGCAGAACUCACUAAUAAUGUCCCGAGAGGACGUAAUGGGGACUUCUCGCAGCCAGCCUGGGAGUGGAGAGCAGAGCAGGGCUAACCUGGGAGACGCCUUCCGAUGUGAAAGCUUGUGGAGGAAGUAGUAGAGAUACAGACACAGGGGCACACACCUAUGAUCUCACCACUUGGGAGGCUGAGGAAGGAGACUGCGAGUUCCAGGCCCACCUGGUCUACAGAGAAAGACCUGGCCUCGAGGGGAAACAACAGAGGUUGUAGGUGACAUCAGUGAAACAAAACUCUCAUUGGCUAGAUGUCAGAUGUGCCAAGUUUGUGCCCCCUGAAAUCAGAGAAUGAAUUUUAAGGAAUAAUGGAAGUUAAGAGCAGGAAAGAUUUAUUGAGAAAUAGCUCCUAAGAGACAGGAGGAUGUCUUCAGUGGGACUCUACUAAGGCCUUUUGUCAUGGGAAAUUCACAAUGUGGAUAUAAUGUGAGUUCAACUGUAAUCAAUUAAAAAUAUAAUUGCCUAGCUAAUAUUGAUCUAAUAGAGAAACAAGUCACACAGCAAGGAUACAUGGAAUGAACAAAGUUGUGUUUGGAGAGGGUUGGGUCCGGAUGCUCUGGCCACCACCUGGGAAACUCAUACUUACUUACUGGACCCACUGGACCAGGAGGUGCUGAUUACAGAAUACCUCCAAGGUAUUUUUUGUGCCUCAGGGAGGCAUGCAGUUCUGUCCAUUGCAUCUCUGCUUUGAGGUCUGGUCUCUUUCAGAUGAGCCUCCAUCUACAAUUUUGAUGUUUUUAUUUUUCUGCCAACUUCCUUGAGAGCCGAUCCCUCUCAGACUGUAUAUCUAUUUCUACCUAACUUUGCUGCCUCUGACAUAGGCAGGUGGGGGAUGGCACAGUUUAAGCAAGAAUACUCAGAAAGCGCCUCACCUUGCUCAGCCAGGACUUGCUGAAGUUCCUCUGUAGACAGCUCCUCUGUGUGUUCCUCCACCAGUUCCUCAGCACCACCACUGUCUACACGCAAGCCAAUGAACUGUGCUAUAGCGACAACCACAAGACUAUUUCCCUGGAGAGGAACAAGGAAUUCUUCACUUCAGAGGGCAGUUUGAAAGACAAAAUCUGUUCCACCGAGGGAACACAAGAGGGAGCCCUUUCCACCCAAGCUUGGAGAUGA